RNAcentral lists this long non-coding RNA (233 nucleotides) under Gossypium barbadense (sea-island cotton). Its description in RNAcentral is "long non-coding RNA (GBAR_LNC018029)". The record is from RNAcentral. Lineage: Eukaryota; Viridiplantae; Streptophyta; Magnoliopsida; Malvales; Malvaceae.
UUUAUUUUUCACGCCCUAAUUUGCCCUCUGUUUCUUGGGUCUGUCUCUCUUUAUCUCCUUCAUUGCUUGCUUCGCCUUCGGCCAGUAGCCCUAAUUUCUUGUCGAGCAUGCCAUAGAGAAAGGCAAGAAGAGAGCUGCUUCUGUUUUUCUUUCUUUGUUUUCUGUAACAGACCCAGAAGUUUUAACCCAGAAGCCCCAAAUUCUUCUCCUUUCUUUCUUUGUUUUCUGUAACA